Cucumis sativus (cucumber) is the source of this 657-nucleotide RNA transcript. RefSeq lists it as uncharacterized. Lineage: Eukaryota; Viridiplantae; Streptophyta; Magnoliopsida; Cucurbitales; Cucurbitaceae. The record is from RefSeq and is a predicted model, not a curated record. The transcript is spliced from 2 exons.
AAUAAUAAUAAAUAGAAAGAGAAGAAAAGAGGGUUUAAUUUAAUAUAAAUAAAUUUGUGUGCAUAAAUAAAAAUGGUUGGGAGUGGAAAUGAAGAAAAGAAAUUGAAAUGAGAGAUAGAGAAAUGGAGUAUGAUAAUCGCGAAGCACAGGAUCCGGCCUCUCUAAGCUUUCCAGUUGGUUUAGUUCUUUUGUUAACGUUUUUGUUUUGUAUGUGUUGUUUCUUUUGCUGUUGUCUUCACUGGGAGAAGCUCCGAUCCUUUCUUGGCUGCCCCGAUCAUCUCCACCACCACCAUCCUCCCAUUCCCCAGCCCCAAUCCCCGCCCCCGAUAAAGUUUCGCCUAUUCACUCGAUAUGGAAGGAGAAUCGGCCGCAAAGCGUAUCCGUGUUGAUGCCCGGCGACGAGGUUCCGAGGUUUAUAGCAAUGGCGUGUCCGGCGUUGGUGGAAAUUGUAGUACAAAAACCUUCGCAAAGUAUUUCAGAUAAUCCUUAAUUAUUCUCUGUAGCCUUCCCUCUUUAAUUAAUUAAAUACUGCUUUUUUUUUUUCUUCUUUUUAAUUAUAAGGUUUUUGUGCAUAUAUAUUAUAUUACAAUAUAUAGAUGUGCAUUUGAAUAUUCCUUUGGAAUUUCUACCAAUGUUCAAAUGUUUCUUUUGAUUUAA